RNAcentral lists this ribosomal RNA (2527 nucleotides) under Vibrio parahaemolyticus. Its description in RNAcentral is "partial 23S ribosomal RNA". It matches the Rfam family "Bacterial large subunit ribosomal RNA", at positions 416 to 2925 of the family's 2925-position model. Lineage: Bacteria; Pseudomonadati; Pseudomonadota; Gammaproteobacteria; Vibrionales; Vibrionaceae. The record is from RNAcentral.
GGCGGGACACGUGAUAUCCUGUCUGAAUAUGGGGGGACCAUCCUCCAAGGCUAAAUACUACUGACUGACCGAUAGUGAACCAGUACCGUGAGGGAAAGGCGAAAAGAACCCCUGUGAGGGGAGUGAAAUAGAACCUGAAACCGUGUACGUACAAGCAGUAGGAGCAGGCUUUGUCCUGUGACUGCGUACCUUUUGUAUAAUGGGUCAGCGACUUAUAUUCAGUGGCAAGGUUAACCAUCUAGGGGAGCCGUAGGGAAACCGAGUCUUAACUGGGCGUUCAGUCUCUGGAUAUAGACCCGAAACCAGGUGAUCUAGCCAUGGGCAGGUUGAAGGUUGAGUAACAUCAACUGGAGGACCGAACCGACUAAUGUUGAAAAAUUAGCGGAUGACUUGUGGCUAGGGGUGAAAGGCCAAUCAAACCUGGAGAUAGCUGGUUCUCCCCGAAAGCUAUUUAGGUAGCGCCUCGGACGAAUACUACUGGGGGUAGAGCACUGUUAAGGCUAGGGGGUCAUCCCGACUUACCAACCCUUUGCAAACUCCGAAUACCAGUAAGUACUAUCCGGGAGACACACGGCGGGUGCUAACGUCCGUCGUGGAGAGGGAAACAACCCAGACCGCCAGCUAAGGUCCCAAAUUACUACUAAGUGGGAAACGAUGUGGGAAGGCUCAGACAGCCAGGAUGUUGGCUUAGAAGCAGCCAUCAUUUAAAGAAAGCGUAAUAGCUCACUGGUCGAGUCGGCCUGCGCGGAAGAUGUAACGGGGCUAAGUAGUAAACCGAAGCUGCGGCAAUAUACUUUUGUAUAUUGGGUAGGGGAGCGUUCUGUAAGCGGUUGAAGGUGUGUGGUAACGCAUGCUGGACGUAUCAGAAGUGCGAAUGCUGACAUGAGUAACGAUAAAGGGGGUGAAAAACCUCCUCGCCGGAAGACCAAGGGUUCCUGUCCAACGUUAAUCGGGGCAGGGUAAGUCGACCCCUAAGGCGAGGCCGAAAGGCGUAGUCGAUGGGAAACGGGUUAAUAUUCCCGUACUUCUUACAAUUGCGAUGGGGGGACGGAGAAGGCUAGGUGGGCCUGGCGACGGUUGUCCAGGUUCAAGUGCGUAGGCUUAAGAGUUAGGUAAAUCCGGCUCUUUUUAAGGCUGAGACACGACGUCGAGCACCUACGGGUGUGAAGUCAUUGAUGCCAUGCUUCCAGGAAAAGCCUCUAAGCUUCAGAUUGUAAGGAAUCGUACCCCAAACCGACACAGGUGGUCGGGUAGAGAAUACCAAGGCGCUUGAGAGAACUCGGGUGAAGGAACUAGGCAAAAUGGUACCGUAACUUCGGGAGAAGGUACGCUCUCGACGGUGAAGUCCCUUGCGGAUGGAGCUAUUGAGAGUCGCAGAUACCAGGUGGCUGCAACUGUUUAUUAAAAACACAGCACUGUGCAAAAUCGUAAGAUGACGUAUACGGUGUGACGCCUGCCCGGUGCCGGAAGGUUAAUUGAUGGGGUUAGACUUCGGUCGAAGCUCUUGAUCGAAGCCCCGGUAAACGGCGGCCGUAACUAUAACGGUCCUAAGGUAGCGAAAUUCCUUGUCGGGUAAGUUCCGACCUGCACGAAUGGCGUAAUGAUGGCCACGCUGUCUCCACCCGAGACUCAGUGAAAUUGAAAUCGCUGUGAAGAUGCAGUGUACCCGCGGCUAGACGGAAAGACCCCGUGAACCUUUACUACAGCUUGGCACUGAACAUUGACCCUACAUGUGUAGGAUAGGUGGGAGGCUUUGAAGCAGGUACGCCAGUAUCUGUGGAGCCGUCCUUGAAAUACCACCCUUGUAGUGUUGAUGUUCUAACGUCGACCCCUAAUCGGGGUUGCGGACAGUGCCUGGUGGGUAGUUUGACUGGGGCGGUCUCCUCCCAAAGAGUAACGGAGGAGCACGAAGGUGGGCUAAUCACGGUUGGACAUCGUGAGGUUAGUGCAAUGGCAUAAGCCCGCUUGACUGCGAGAAUGACAAUUCGAGCAGGUGCGAAAGCAGGUCAUAGUGAUCCGGUGGUUCUGAAUGGAAGGGCCAUCGCUCAACGGAUAAAAGGUACUCCGGGGAUAACAGGCUGAUACCGCCCAAGAGUUCAUAUCGACGGCGGUGUUUGGCACCUCGAUGUCGGCUCAUCACAUCCUGGGGCUGAAGUCGGUCCCAAGGGUAUGGCUGUUCGCCAUUUAAAGUGGUACGCGAGCUGGGUUUAGAACGUCGUGAGACAGUUCGGUCCCUAUCUGCCGUGGGCGUUGGAAGAUUGAAGGGGGCUGCUCCUAGUACGAGAGGACCGGAGUGGACGAACCUCUGGUGUUCGGGUUGUGUCGCCAGACGCAUUGCCCGGUAGCUAAGUUCGGAAUCGAUAACCGCUGAAAGCAUCUAAGCGGGAAGCGAGCCCUGAGAUGAGUCUUCCCUGAUACUUUAAGUAUCCUAAAGGGUUGUCGGAGACUACGACGUUGAUAGGUCAGGUGUGUAAGUGCUGUGAGGCAUUGAGCUAACUGAUACUAAUUGCCCGUGAGGCUUAACCAU